GACGAACGCUGGCGGCGUGCUUAACACAUGCAAGUCGAACGGAAAGGCCCUUCGGGGUACUCGAGUGGCGAACGGGUGAGUAACACGUGGGUGAUCUGCCCUGCACUUUGGGAUAAGCCUGGGAAACUGGGUCUAAUACCGAAUAGGACCACGCGCUUCAUGGUGUGUGGUGGAAAGCUUUUGCGGUGUGGGAUGGGCCCGCGGCCUAUCAGCUUGUUGGUGGGGUAAUGGCCUACCAAGGCGACGACGGGUAGCCGGCCUGAGAGGGUGACCGGCCACACUGGGACUGAGAUACGGCCCAGACUCCUACGGGAGGCAGCAGUGGGGAAUAUUGCACAAUGGGCGCAAGCCUGAUGCAGCGACGCCGCGUGAGGGAUGACGGCCUUCGGGUUGUAAACCUCUUUCAAUAGGGACGAAGCGCAAGUGACGGUACCUAUAGAAGAAGCACCGGCCAACUACGUGCCAGCAGCCGCGGUAAUACGUAGGGUGCGAGCGUUGUCCGGAAUUACUGGGCGUAAGAGCUCGUAGGUGGUUUGUCGCGUUGUUCGUGAAAACUCACAGCUUAACUGUGGGCGUGCGGGCGAUACGGGCAGACUAGAGUACUGCAGGGGAGACUGGAAUUCCUGGUGUAGCGGUGGAAUGCGCAGAUAUCAGGAGGAACACCGGUGGCGAAGGCGGGUCUCUGGGCAGUAACUGACGCUGAGGAGCGAAAGCGUGGGGAGCGAACAGGAUUAGAUACCCUGGUAGUCCACGCCGUAAACGGUGGGUACUAGGUGUGGGUUCCUUCCUUGGGAUCCGUGCCGUAGCUAACGCAUUAAGUACCCCGCCUGGGGAGUACGGCCGCAAGGCUAAAACUCAAAGGAAUUGACGGGGGCCCGCACAAGCGGCGGAGCAUGUGGAUUAAUUCGAUGCAACGCGAAGAACCUUACCUGGGUUUGACAUGCACAGGACGCCGGCAGAGAUGUCGGUUCCCUUGUGGCCUGUGUGCAGGUGGUGCAUGGCUGUCGUCAGCUCGUGUCGUGAGAUGUUGGGUUAAGUCCCGCAACGAGCGCAACCCUUGUCCUAUGUUGCCAGCGGGUUAUGCCGGGGACUCGUAGGAGACUGCCGGGGUCAACUCGGAGGAAGGUGGGGAUGACGUCAAGUCAUCAUGCCCCUUAUGUCCAGGGCUUCACACAUGCUACAAUGGCCGGUACAAAGGGCUGCGAUGCCGUGAGGUGGAGCGAAUCCUUUCAAAGCCGGUCUCAGUUCGGAUCGGGGUCUGCAACUCGACCCCGUGAAGUCGGAGUCGCUAGUAAUCGCAGAUCAGCAACGCUGCGGUGAAUACGUUCCCGGGCCU
Molecule: ribosomal RNA, 1336 nt
Filed under: uncultured bacterium
Lineage: Bacteria
Description: bacterial SSU rRNA
Rfam family: Bacterial small subunit ribosomal RNA
Source: RNAcentral